This 247-nucleotide ribosomal RNA is filed under the name uncultured Actinomycetales bacterium. Its description in RNAcentral is "partial 16S ribosomal RNA". It matches the Rfam family "Bacterial small subunit ribosomal RNA", at positions 87 to 334 of the family's 1533-position model. Lineage: Bacteria; Bacillati; Actinomycetota; Actinomycetes; Actinomycetales. The record is from RNAcentral.
GUGCUCGAGUGGCGAACGGGUGAGUAACACGUGAGUAACCUGCCCUUGACUUUGGGAUAACUUCAGGAAACUGGGGCUAAUACCGGAUAGGAGCUCCUGCUGCAUGGUGGGGGUUUGGAAAGUUUCGGCGGUUGGGGAUGGACUCGCGGCUUAUCAGCUUGUUGGUGGGGUAGUGGCUUACCAAGGCUUUGACGGGUAGCCGGCCUGAGAGGGUGACCGGCCACAUUGGGACUGAGAUACGGCCCAG